Thermomonospora curvata DSM 43183 is the source of this 55-nucleotide non-coding RNA. The record is from Rfam. NCBI's taxonomy places the organism in Bacteria, Bacillati, Actinomycetota, Actinomycetes, Streptosporangiales, Thermomonosporaceae.
CGGGCGGGACGGCCGUCCAUGAACGAGCCGCCGGUACCUGAUACGGCCGGCGCAG